UACGUAGGGUGCGAGCGUUAAUCGGAAUUACUGGGCGUAAAGCGUGCGCAGGCGGCUUUGCAAGACAGAUGUGAAAUCCCCGGGCUCAACCUGGGAACUGCAUUUGUGACUGCAAGGCUAGAGUACGGCAGAGGGGGAUGGAAUUCCGCGUGUAGCAGUGAAAUGCGUAGAUAUGCGGAGGAACACCAAUGGCGAAGGCAAUCCCCUGGGCCUGUACUGACGCUCAUGCAAGAAAGCGUGGGGAGCAAACAGG
RNAcentral lists this ribosomal RNA (253 nucleotides) under uncultured bacterium. Its description in RNAcentral is "partial 16S ribosomal RNA". It matches the Rfam family "Bacterial small subunit ribosomal RNA", at positions 524 to 776 of the family's 1533-position model. The record is from RNAcentral.